Long non-coding RNA from Peromyscus maniculatus bairdii (prairie deer mouse), 1241 nucleotides. RefSeq lists it as uncharacterized. The record is from RefSeq and is a predicted model, not a curated record. Lineage: Eukaryota; Metazoa; Chordata; Mammalia; Rodentia; Cricetidae.
UGUGUAAGUGCACGUGUGUAAGUGCACAUGUGUGUAAGUGCCUGCAGAGGCCAGAGACGUCACAUCCCCUGGACUUGGUGUUCCAGGUGGUUUGUACACUUCCGGAUGUGGGAGCAGGAACAGGAACUAAACUCUGGCCUCGACAAGAGCAGUAUGUAUGACCUCAGCCACCUCUCCACCACAAUCCCGUAUCUUUUCUAACUUUUUCCUUCCAUGCUUUUCCAUGAUCAGACAAGAGGUAACCAAUUAAGAAUUGGGAUUUUUAUAGAGAGGAAGGAAAACCUUUCGACGGAGGAGAAAGGGAGUAAGUCUUUACACAACUGUGAAGUUCACGGAAAUCUAAAAGUUCUAUAAAGAUUCAGUGAAUCGAACUGGAGUUAUCAGUUAAAUGAGAAUUCUAAUUUUUAAUACUUGUUUUCUCAUUGUUGGAACUGCUUUGUUCAGAGUCAGUGUUAAUAUAAUCACGAGAGCCAACAGUUCCAUUAAAGGAACACUUGGUUGCUCCACUUCUAUUAUCUCAAAAUGCAUCCCCUAUUACUGUCCUCUUUAAUAUCAGCUCUCUUCUGAAAUGAAUGCCAGAAAAGUCCCCUCCACCUCCUAUUGCAAAAUUAAUUACUUUUCCAUUUGUUCUCUAUCUCUCUUGCUCCAGGGGAGACCUCUAAAUAUGCAAACUACUUAUCCAGGAAUGGUGUCACCAUGCUGAGCCUCUAAUGGACCUAAAAAACCAACAUCUCUACUUGAAUGCUAUGGAAAUUAAAAACAAGCUACAUAUGAUUAUACUUUCAUGUGCUUAUUUUUCUUUUUCCCCUCUAGCCAGAAGUAAAAGUGAAGAUGAAAAGAGAGAAGUAUGACUUCAAGUGGUAUUGUCUCUGGAAACACUGAGAAACUUGUAUUUUUAGAGGGGUCUAAUCAGGCAUGCACUAUCUUCUACUGUCUUUGGAAAAAGCUUCCAUUUGAAUGCUUCUUAUGUACCCUGACUUCCUAAAGUUAGAUCCAGUGCUUAUGACGGGUAGCCGAGUUUGCCUUCAGAUACAGUCCUGAAUCAAGUCGUCCUAUGGAGGAACCAGAUGUUCCCGAUAAUUCAACUAAGGAAAAUAUAAAUUGCUGAGACAAUAAAAAUGUGCAAGAUGUGAGUUCUCAGCAUCCUGUUCCAGCUGCCAUGGCAGCCUGUUACCUCCAAUCAACCAUUAUGGACUCUGACCCUCUGGAACCAUACGCCAAAAUAAACUCUUUCUUCUCUA